CGGUCAGAGUAGGUCCAAUCAUACGGCUUCAUCCCACCCCGAAAGCAGAUGAGCGCUGGGGAAUGUUUUCAGCCACCUGGAGGAGGAAGUUCAGCGCGGAAGAAAUGUUACCAGACUUCACCGAUCUGGUAUCUGGACUUUUUUGAUGAUCUCAUAGAGAUUGUGUGUGCAGAUGGGCGGUUAAAGUUCUGGGAGGGAAAGAUUUGUAACUUUAAGGAUAUAUAUGAAGCCGAAAACACCCACAACAAUGGGGUAACUAACAUAAACCUCGCCGGUGACGGAGUUGAGUGAACGAAUCGAUUUUCUGAGACUGGAAACGUACACGUAAGGUUGUCAGAUCGAUUGGGGAUUUACGUCUGUAUAUGGGCGAAGUAAGUUCUAUGUUUCAAGCAAUUUUUUAAGCUCACCUAGGGCGCAGACAGAUUUUACUUGUUCUUUUAAAAUACUGUAUAUUCUAAGUCAUUUAAUUUUCAGUCUGUAAUGAGUAUGUCAUCAAGUGCCUUAAUUCUUAUUCUUUUUAGCUCACGUACGCAGCGGUUCGGCAGGAAGCAUUUCAGCAAUCCGCCGGAUCAAAUCCGUCCACAGCUUUCCCAGCUCAACAUCACGCAUCCGAGGAGGAGCUUCGAUGUAUCCUAGAGUUUCACCAGCAGGGUUACCGGUGACAUGUUUGGAAGUGGCGGGCGGUACAGUCAUGACUGGCAGCCAGGGCCACACUGUUAACGUGUUCCGGCUCGAUAGCCACCUAUUGCAGUUCACCCUAAACGGCCAUUGCGGUCCUAUUACAUGUAUUUUCAUAGACCAGUGGCAGGCUGAGAUGGGCGCAUCUGGUUGCCAGGAUGGUGUGCUAUAUGUGAGGGACUUGAUACGGGGUGCCUGUAUGUACAAAAUUGAAGCCCAUGACGACUCAAUCGUCGCACUUGCCUGUUCCCCGAGUUACGCAAUAUCGCUCGGACUGAACGAAUGAAUAC
Molecule: long non-coding RNA, 968 nt
Organism: Topomyia yanbarensis
Lineage: Eukaryota; Metazoa; Arthropoda; Insecta; Diptera; Culicidae
Exons: 3
Source: RefSeq, a predicted model, not a curated record